RNAcentral lists this long non-coding RNA (234 nucleotides) under Sorghum bicolor (sorghum). Its description in RNAcentral is "long non-coding RNA (SBIC_LNC004400)". The record is from RNAcentral. Lineage: Eukaryota; Viridiplantae; Streptophyta; Magnoliopsida; Poales; Poaceae.
AGAUUUCUUCUUUGGGUUCUGCCUGGCACCCCUUGUCCCAAAUGUUGAGAAGUAACUCUCUGAGGUAUCUCUAAACUUCUCUGAGAUGAUUGCAACCUUUCUAUAAUCUAGCUUGUUAUAGUUCUUUUCACGAAUCACUGGAUUUAGGAAAUUCUCUGGACUAUUGCUCAAAAGAAGAUUCACUAGCUGCCUUGCUUCCACUAGUGCAGCCUUCAUUUCAUUUUUUGCAGAUUC